Long non-coding RNA from Drosophila montana, 882 nucleotides. RefSeq lists it as uncharacterized. The record is from RefSeq and is a predicted model, not a curated record. The transcript is spliced from 6 exons. NCBI's taxonomy places the organism in Eukaryota, Metazoa, Arthropoda, Insecta, Diptera, Drosophilidae.
UAAUCGAUAACAACAAACAAUCGGAACUUCUAACAAAUGAACAACACUAACAGCUGUAACAACAAGAAAAUGUAAGCAAAAAAGAUCGGGUUCCGGUUCCGGACCCCGCGUACCUGCCCUACCUGAGACGAUCCGCUGAUCUUGUCUCCCACAUUUUGGCCACUAGAUGGCCUGCAUCAGCCCGUAUUGGCUGACAUGUCCCCUUUUCCCCUCAAUUGAGAUUUAGCUGGACAUUUCUCUCUACAGUAGGGUAUCCCCAUUCUGCAAUUUAUUCUAUGCAAGCUGACAUUGUCUUCAAUUCUUCAACAGAAUACAUUUUUAUUUAACAACAUUAAAUGAAACAGGCGACGAAACACUGCAAAGUUAUUGCCAGUCAAGAAAAGAAAAAAAUAACCAGGGGAAAGAUAUAACACCAGACGCAAUAAUCUUUGGGGCCUUUCCUUCACUGUUCGCACUUUCGAAAAUUUUCUUACGUGAAACUAGGCAAAACUUUUCUAGAAAAUUUUUUUUUAUGGGGCCGACAUGUAAAAAAAAAAUAACUUUAAGCUCGCUUUGAGCACGCCCGCCGUUGACUGCUGAUCAUAUCGAACUCCCUGCUGUACAUUUGGGCAGCAACAUCGGUGCCGAAUUUCGGCACACGCAAACAUUUACUAGGCGGACACCGUUGCUGUCCAUCUGCACGGCUGCAUUUUUUGGGUCAACGGCCCAAAUGAAGGCCAAGGGCAUAUCAAAGGGCAUGCGAUCCGCUCUCCCUAAAAUCUCUUUAAGGGCGAAUCGGGCGGCCAAUAGCAAUCGCCCCUUUUGGCGCCGUGGAUCACAAGCCCGGCAUUUCCAAUCUUCAAUAAAUUGGGCGCCGCUGUGGGCCCAGCUUCACCCCCGAUA